UUUGCACCAAUUUGUAAGUCGCUCUGGAUAAGAGCGUCUGCUAAAUGACGUAAA
Non-coding RNA from Salmo salar (Atlantic salmon), 54 nucleotides. NCBI's taxonomy places the organism in Eukaryota, Metazoa, Chordata, Actinopteri, Salmoniformes, Salmonidae. The record is from Rfam.